RNAcentral lists this ribosomal RNA (492 nucleotides) under uncultured bacterium. Its description in RNAcentral is "partial 16S ribosomal RNA". It matches the Rfam family "Bacterial small subunit ribosomal RNA", at positions 29 to 507 of the family's 1533-position model. The record is from RNAcentral.
AGUGAACGCUGGCGGUAGGCCUAACACAUGCAAGUCGAACGGCAGCACAGUAAGAGCUUGCUCUUACGGGUGGCGAGUGGCGGACGGGUGAGGAAUACAUCGGAAUCUACUUUUUCGUGGGGGAUAACGUAGGGAAACUUACGCUAAUACCGCAUACGACCUACGGGUGAAAGCAGGGGAUCUUCGGACCUUGCGCGAUUGAAUGAGCCGAUGUCGGAUUAGCUAGUUGGCGGGGUAAAGGCCCACCAAGGCGACGAUCCGUAGCUGGUCUGAGAGGAUGAUAAGCCACACUGGGACUGAGACACGGUACAGACUCCUACGGGAGGCAGCAGUGGGGAAUAUUAGACAAAGGGCGCAAGCCUGAUCCAGCCAUACCGCGUGAGUGAAGAAGGCCUUCGGGUUGUAAAGCCCUUUUGUUGGGAAAGAAAAGCAGCAGGUUAAUACCCCGCUGUUCUGACGGUACCCAAAGAAUAAGCACCGGCUAACUUCGUG